AGAGUUUGAUCCUAGCUCAGGGUGAACGCUGGCGGCGUGGAUGAGGCAUGCAAGUCGAAUGGGCUUAGACCCAUGGCAGACGAGGUAGGAACACGUAGGUACAUACCCCGAAGUCAGGGAUAAUCCGGAGAAAUCCGGGAUAAUACUUGAUAGUCACGAAAGUGUAAAGAUUUAUCGCUUCGGGAAUGGCCUGCGUUCUAUCAGCUUGUUGGUAAGGUAACGGCUUACCAAGGCUACGACGGAUAGGGGAGGUGAGAGCCUGACCCCCACCGAUGGAACUGCGACACGGUCCACACUCCUACGGGAGGCUGCAGUCGAGAAUCUUCCGCAAUGGACGAGAGUCUGACGGAGCGACGCCGCGUGGUGGAUGAAGCCCUUAGGGGCGUAAACACCUUUUGUGAAGGAGAAAGUAUAUUGAUGUUACUUCAUGAAUAAGGGGCUCCCAAUUCUGUGCCAGCAGGAGCGGUAAUACAGAAGCCCCAAGCGUUACCCGGAUUUACUGGGCGUAAAGGAUGCGUAGGCGGUUAUAUUAGUCGGAUGUUAAAUCCUGGGGCUCAACCUCAGGCUCGCAUUCGAAACGGUAUAACUAGAAGAAAUGAGAGGUGAACAGAACUCAUGGUGUAGGGGUGAAAUCCGUUGAUAUCAUGGGGAAUACCAAAUGCGAAGGCAGUUCACUGGCAUUUUCUUGACGCUGAGGCAUGAAAGCGUGGGUAGCGAACGGGAUUAGAUACCCCGGUAGUCCACGCCCUAAACGCUGUCUGCUAGCUAUGAGGAGAAUCGACCCUCUUUGUGGCGUAGGUAACCCGAUAAGCAGACCGCCUGGGUAGUACGAGCGCAAGCUUAAAACUCAAUGGAAUAGACGGGGGCUCGCACAAGCGUGGAGCGCGUGGCUUAAUUCGUCGUUAAGCGAAAAACCUUACCGAGGCUAGAAACCAUACUGCACGACCCGGGAAACCGGGUAAGCUUUCGAAGGUGUAUGGCAGGUGAUGCAUGGCCGUCGUCAGUUCGUGGCUUGAGCUGUUCCCUUAAGUGGGGAAACGAACGCAACCCUCGUUGCCUGUUACAAGUGUCAGGCGAGACUGCUCCCUCACGGGAGAGGAAGGUGAGGAUGACGCCAGGUCAGCAUGUCCCUUGAUGCCUCGGGCUGCACACACGCUACAAUGGGACGCACAACGGGACGCAAUACAGUAAUGUGGAGCAAAUCCUUAUAAAACGUCCCCCAGUUCGGAUUGAGGGCUGCAACUCGCCCUCAUGAAGUUGGAAUCGCUAGUAAUCGCGGAUCAGCACGCCGCGGUGAAUACGUUCCCGAGCCUUGUACUCACCGCCCGUCAACUCAAGGGAGUCGGGAGUGCCCGAAGUUCGCGUUUAUCGCGACCUACGGUAAGCUCGAUGACAGGGAGUAAGUCGUAACAAGGCA
This 1417-nucleotide ribosomal RNA is filed under the name metagenome. RNAcentral's name for it is "bacterial SSU rRNA". It matches the Rfam family "Bacterial small subunit ribosomal RNA". The record is from RNAcentral.